CCCUUAGAUGUUCUGGGCCGCACGCGCGCUACACUGAAUGGAUCAACGUGUUUUCCCUUCCCGAGAGGGACGGGUAACCCGCUGAACCCCAUUCGUGGUAGGGAUCGGAGCUUGCAAUUGUUCUCCGUGAACCAGGAAUUCCCAGUAAGCGCAAGUCAUAAGCUUGCGUUGAUUACGUCCCUGCCCUUUGUACACACCGCCCGUCGCUACUACCGAUUGAAUGGUCCGGUGAAAUCUCCGGACUGGCGUGAGUCGGAGCAAUCUGACAAACGCCGGAAAGUUGAUUAAACCUUACCAUUUAGAGGAAGGUGAAGUCGUAACA
Molecule: ribosomal RNA, 322 nt
Filed under: uncultured eukaryote
Lineage: Eukaryota
Description: partial 18S ribosomal RNA
Rfam family: Eukaryotic small subunit ribosomal RNA
Source: RNAcentral